AAAUUGCAGUUGAUACUGUCAGUCUUGAGUACAGUAGAGGUGGGCGGAAUUCGUGGUGUAGCGGUGAAAUGCUUAGAUAUCACGAAGAACUCCGAUUGCGAAGGCAGCUCACUGGACUGCAACUGACACUGAUGCUCGAAAGUGUGGGUAUCAAACAGGAUUAGAUACCCUGGUAGUCCACACAGUAAACGAUGAAUACUCGCUGUUUGCGAUAUACAGUAAGCGGCCAAGCGAAAGCAUUAAGCAUUCCACCUGGGGAGUACGCCGGCAACGGUGAAACUCAAAGGAAUUGACGGGGGCCCGCACAAGCGGAGGAACAUGUGGUUUAAUUCGAUGAUACGCGAGGAACCUUACCCGGGCUUAAAUUGCAGUGGAAUGAUGUGGAAACAUGUCAGUGAGCAAUCACCGCUGUGAAGGUGCUGCAUGGUUGUCGUCAGCUCGUGCCGUGAGGUGUCGGCUUAAGUGCCAUAACGAGCGCAACCCUUAUCUUUAGUUACUAACAGGUUAUGCUGAGGACUCUAGAGAGACUGCCGUCGUAAGAUGUGAGGAAGGUGGGGAUGACGUCAAAUCAGCACGGCCCUUACGUCCGGGGCUACACACGUGUUACAAUGGGGGGUACAGAAGGCAGCUAGCGGGUGACCGUAUGCUAAUCCCAAAAUCCUCUCUCAGUUCGGAUCGAAGUCUGCAACCCGACUUCGUGAAGCUGGAUUCGCUAGUAAUCGCGCAUCAGCCACGGCGCGGUGAAUACGUUCCCGGGCCUUGUACACACCGCCCGUCAAGCCAUGGGAGCCGGGGGUACCAGAAGUACGUAACCGCAAGGAUCGUCCUAGGGUAA
This 835-nucleotide ribosomal RNA is filed under the name uncultured organism. Its description in RNAcentral is "SSU rRNA". It matches the Rfam family "Bacterial small subunit ribosomal RNA", at positions 618 to 1465 of the family's 1533-position model. The record is from RNAcentral.